CCAGGCCUAUAAGAUGAUUCUAUCGCUCAAACUUCAUGAUCAAACCCAUCCAAUGCUACGUGUCUUAUGAUUUUGAAAGGAAAGAGAAAAUUGGAGAUGUGAGCUUUACAACCUAGUAAGAAUUCUAUCAAACUUAUGCCAAUAUAAUAAUACAAUUCAAAAUAAUGAGUAAGCAAUAUCAAAGAGAAUCAUAAGUCAUAAAAUCUUAUGUCAAGUGAUAGGUG
Molecule: long non-coding RNA, 224 nt
Filed under: Elaeis guineensis (African oil palm)
Lineage: Eukaryota; Viridiplantae; Streptophyta; Magnoliopsida; Arecales; Arecaceae
Description: long non-coding RNA (EGUI_LNC035766)
Source: RNAcentral